UCUAAUGUGGCAGAGUAAAUGUAAUGAAUUUAAAAUUCAUUCAUAAAUAUUUAUAUUUCUUUAGAA
This 66-nucleotide transfer RNA is filed under the name Guayaquila sp. CPL-2004e. RNAcentral's name for it is "tRNA-Leu". The record is from RNAcentral. Lineage: Eukaryota; Metazoa; Arthropoda; Insecta; Hemiptera; Membracidae.